AAAAUGACAAGGUUGACGAAUUGCUUACUUCACCAACUCCCAAGGCUUCUGCAAAAGCUCUACCUUCAAUGAGUAAAUUAGUCUUGAAAAGGAUAAAUCCAGAAUGAAGUGUGGAUUUUGACACCAAUCCAAUUACUCUGAGCUACUCUGAAGUUGUGAUAUAGGCCAUAAAAAUAAUUUUUUGAUUGUGCACCCAGACAUUCUGCUGUCUGGAACAAGGGUUGCUGGCAGUUUUGGUUGUCUUAGGAGAACUGUCUUAGAUGAGAGGCUAAAAUGCAAUGAGUACUCUACUGCAGCAUUGACUGGAACCUUGCUUCACCAAAUUUUUCAGGUUGGGCUCACAGAAGACAAUCCAUCUAUUGACUUCUUGGAAGGUUACAUAGAAGUGGUAUUACUUAGGAACAUUGAGAGUCUGUAUGCUUGUGGAGGUGUGAAUUUGUAGUAUUGUGUCUAUAUAUGUAUCAUGUAUUACAUUAUGCACCUCAAGUGUGGAAUAUAUCAGGAGGAAAUUUU
Molecule: long non-coding RNA, 513 nt
Organism: Arachis duranensis
Lineage: Eukaryota; Viridiplantae; Streptophyta; Magnoliopsida; Fabales; Fabaceae
Exons: 3
Source: RefSeq, a predicted model, not a curated record